CGCCGCGCUCAGCGCCCUGCGCAGCGCCAUCACCCCCCGGCCCCCUCCUCUUCCUCCUCCUCCUCCUCCUCCCCUCCCGGCGGCCUCAGCGCGGGAGCCCCUCCGCGUCCGUGCGCGCCACCCGAUUGGUCCGCUCAGCCUAGAGGGCGGGCUUUACACCGAGAUCCCGCUUCUGAUUGGGCGGCGGCGGGGAAUGACGCAGCGCCGCCUGAAGCCGUGCGGGCGCCAGCGCUGCCGCCCGGCGUGGGGCACGGCGCUGCGAGGGGCUGGCCGAGGGGGUUCCCGCUGGUGCCCCCCCCGGUCCCCUCCGGUCCCCCUCGGUCCCCUCCGGUCCUCAGCGGGCCAGCAGCGCUGCAGGGGCUCAGUCUCGUCCCCCACAGCUCGGGGGUCCCCCUGGUGGUCCCCCCCAGUAGGGGGGGGGGGGGGGGGGGUGCAGGGGAUGGGGGGGGUGCAGGGGAUGCAGGGGGUGCAGGAGGGAUUCAGGGUGAUAGAGACAGGGGUGCAGGAGGGAUGCAGGAGGUGAAGGGGAUGCAGGGGGGGUUCAGGGUGAUAGAGGCAGGGAUGCAGGAGGGACACCGGAAUUGCAGGAGGGAUGCGGGAUGAUCAAGGCAGGGGUGCAGGAGGGAUGCAGGAGAUGCAGGAGGAUGGAGGCAGGGAUGCAGGAGGUGCAGGAGGGAUGCAGGAGGGACACAGGAGAACACAGGAGGGAUGCAGGAGAUGUAGGACGGAUGCAGGAUGAUGGAGGCAGGGAUGCAGAAAGGAUGCAAGAGAUGCAGGAAAUGCAGGACCACACAGGAGGGAUGCAGGAGAUGCAGGGGGGACACAGGAGGACACAGGAGGGACGCAGGAGUCCCAGCGAUGCUGCAGCCCACCAGCACCACCCCCGUGCAUACAAACCCCUCUGGAUCCCCCCCUGGAUCCCCUCCCCACACUCCAUGGACCACGAACACGGGACCAGGAGCCCAACGGAGGGGAUGCAGCAGCGAGGAGUGGCUCCAGCU
Molecule: long non-coding RNA, 1001 nt
Filed under: Anas platyrhynchos platyrhynchos (common mallard)
Lineage: Eukaryota; Metazoa; Chordata; Aves; Anseriformes; Anatidae
Description: lncRNA (ENSAPLG00000029563.1)
Source: RNAcentral